UACUGCCAAAAUAAGAGAACACUGCGUAAGGUUUUAACUGAAGAAAGGAGCUUUUGGUGGAGCCCUGGAGAGUUUGGGGAAGAGGAAGAAAAUUUGCGGGUCUUUGGUCCCAUAGAAGAGCGCCACGGCGUAUUAAGGCGUUGGUGGCUCCCCAGACUAGGCCCACUGCCACUAUCUUCUCUAUAUCUCUUGCCAUCGUCGUGGUCAUUUGCGACGUCCAUGGAUUGUGGUGGAUUCGGAGCUCUGCCUUUUUUGGUGUGGCUUGGCGUGUAAACGACUUCGUUUCCAUGCCGGACGCG
Molecule: unclassified non-coding RNA, 299 nt
Filed under: Hevea brasiliensis (rubber tree)
Lineage: Eukaryota; Viridiplantae; Streptophyta; Magnoliopsida; Malpighiales; Euphorbiaceae
Source: RNAcentral